This is a long non-coding RNA of Eriocheir sinensis (Chinese mitten crab), 506 nucleotides long. RefSeq lists it as uncharacterized. The transcript has 3 exons. NCBI's taxonomy places the organism in Eukaryota, Metazoa, Arthropoda, Malacostraca, Decapoda, Varunidae. The record is from RefSeq and is a predicted model, not a curated record.
UGGAGGCAGUGCAGGAUCCUGGGAGGGGACGGAAGGAGGGAAGAUGGAAGGAAGGAAGGAAGGAGGGAAGGAGGGAAGAAGGAAGGAAGGAAGGAAGGAAGGAAGGAAGGAAGGGACACACCUCAACUUACAGGACUCAGAUCAUCAAGGUUCACAGUCCACCAGGAGUAGCCCAGAGAGGGAGUCCAGUCUACCACGGGACAGUCCACUCGUCAAGGUCCAGCCAGGUCUAUUGUUGACAGUCUGGGAACGGGAGGAAGGAAGGAAAAGGAAGGACAGAAGGAAGGAACACACACACUCAUAUUCUUAACUUCUGUCUUUCUUACUGAUGCGAUAUUUCUUCUCCUCCUCCUCUUCUCCACAAUGUGUUGAGUAGCUGCAGGCCGGGCGGAGGCUGAGCUGCGGCCCCACGAUGGACGAGGUGUUUGCGGCCACCAAGACAAAGUGUUCGCUGAGCCCCGCCCGCAGCACACACCCGCCUGCACAUCCAGCUGCCGCCCCCUCAG